GGGGCCGUAGGCUAGCCUGGUAGACUGCGAGGCUUGGGCCCUCGUGACCCAGGUUCAAAUCCUGGCGGCCCCACCA
This 76-nucleotide transfer RNA is filed under the name Candidatus Bathyarchaeota archaeon. RNAcentral's name for it is "tRNA-Pro". It matches the Rfam family "tRNA". From Rfam's summary of the family: Transfer RNA (tRNA) molecules are approximately 80 nucleotides in length. Their secondary structure includes four short double-helical elements and three loops (D, anti-codon, and T loops). Lineage: Archaea; Thermoproteati; Candidatus Bathyarchaeota. The record is from RNAcentral. RNAcentral also lists the same sequence under 5 other names.